AAUUAUAACUUUGUGGCUGUGGUAUCUAGGAACGUCCACUAAAAGAGGGGGUGCCUGAUUUCUCGACCACUGAUGAUGACGUCACCCCACGGCUCUUGUUGCCAUAGCAGCCGAACACGACAACGGUCGUAAAAACACACAAAAAAAUAACGGAUACCAGAAAUAUUUUUUUUCUCACUGAACAGAUCUUUACAAAGAAAUAUUACCUUUUACUUUUGUUGUUGUUUUGUUUUAUCUGACAACGCCAGCUGUACGUAAAACUAGCUCAGGUCGCUAGCAGCGCCUAAAUUGUAUGCUAUAGCUAGUUUCGCUAACUAUAACGUUAGCUAGCUACAUUGUAUUGCUAGCUAGGUUAGCCUAGCAUGUUAACAUUGUCUAGCCGCUAUCUUAGCAGUUUGUGAAAAAUACUUUUAACAUAAAAUAAUAGUUUUCUAGUGUAGUUUAGCAAGGAAAUUUACCUGCUAAUGUUAUUAGCUAGUUCUAGCUAACGUUACAAGCUGGCCAAUGUGUUAUAUUGCUUUUAAAUAGUUUUAACACUUUGUUCUAGCUAGCUAAUUUGUGUAGGUAGGUAAAGUAAACACAAUGAUAUAGUUAGAGAAACAGCAUGUACACUCACUAGUACGAGCUGUGGCUAGUGUUUUUAGUUUGACAAUCCGACGAUGGCACUGUUAUUGGCCCCUAUAGGCCGAACUCAUGCAGCUGUAUGGUGACAAUGAGCUGAAAUGCCGAAUAGAGGCAUUUGAUCCAUUCAGAAUCGCUGCUACAUGAAUCUUUUCCGACAAUUAUCUGAGUUUGGACAGCAAUGUUUAGUCUGAUGGCGAAUUGUUGCAACUGGUUGAAACGCUGGCGGCAGCCCGCAAGAAAAAUAACACUGGUGAUGGUUGGACUUGACAACGCUGGGAAGACUGCUACAGUACGCGGGAUCCAGGGAGAGAGCCCAGAGGACGUGGCCCCUACGGUAGGGUUCUCCAAGGUGGAUCUGAAGCAGGGGAAGUUUGAGGUCACCAUCUUUGACCUGGGCGGAGGGAAGAGGAUCAGGGGCAUCUGGAAGAACUACUACAGCGAGUCGUACGGGGUGGUGUUCGUGGUGGACUCCAGUGAUGUUCAGAGGAUCCAGGAGACCAGGGACACUAUGGCUGAGGUCCUCCGACACCCUCGCAUCUCUGGGAAACCUGUCCUAGUAUUGGCUAACAAGCAGGAUCGGGACGGGGCAUUGGCUGAGGCAGACAUCAUUGAGAACCUGUCAUUGGAGAAGCUAGUGAACGAGAACAAGUGUCUCUGUCAGAUCGAGCCGUGUUCUGCUGUUCUGGGCUACGGUAAGAAGGGGGACAAGUCCAUCAGGAACGGACUCAACUGGCUGCUGAACAUCAUCGCCAAAGACUACGAAGCCAUCUCUGAACGCGUGCGGAAGGACACGGCCGAACAGAGGGCUCAGGAGGAACAGGAGAAGAGAGAGAGACAGGAGAGAGUACGGAGGAUACGGGAGGAGAGAGACCGUCAGGAGAAAGAGGAGGCGGAGAGGGAGGGUCGGACACUGCAUGAGGAGGAGGAGACCGACGACGCCACCGUACACAGCCCCUUCCAGCCAAUCGGCAACGUCAUCAAUGAGAAUGAAGACAAGCUGAAGAAGAGACCGACAGGAGGUCAGGUGGGUGGUGCCAACGAUGCUGGAGAAGGAGGGCAGGAAGAGGAAGAGGAGGAGGAGGAGGAGGAGGAAGAGGACAGCGAGAGACAGACUCCAGAAAGCGGUGCAGCCUCAGUGGAGAGGACGAAGAAGAAGACGAGUAAACUGAGACUGAAGAGGAAACACAGAGUGGACCCUCUGAGGACGGAGGAGACAGCAGCCCCCGAGAGCCCCACACCUCCACCACUACCUGGUGAGAGACACACCUCCACCACUACCUGUGGGAUGGGCUACUCCCAAAAUGUCUAGGCUUCCCAAGCUGGAGCCUCUUGGCGAUAGGAGCCGAUCCGGUAAUGAUGUUUAAAGUGACUGUCUAGACCUGUCAUCUGACUGUCUCCACCACCACCACUCCACUGCUAGUUCUUCGGCAAGCCCCUCCCUCCCGUGGCCAACCGUCAACAACAACCUAACAGCGACACUCAUGAUGUCAUAUCCUAGCCCCUCCCCUCCACCGGGCUCCUCCUUCCUUACCCGAUUGGUUUAUCCCAUCCCCGAGCCCCACCUUCAAUUCAAACAACAUUAAAAUGACAGUCUCUUUGGUUUCUUUUCAAAGUACGUGCUGUGUAGAGGUCUACGGACUCCACCACCAGCCGAGAUGAUGCUCCCAAGACCAAUGAACCACCGCCACCGUCGGCCCCGAGCUCACAGGACUACGAUGGUGGAGCGGACUGUCCAACCCUGGAGAGAGAGGGAGGGUGACUGGGUGGGCCCUGGAGAGAGAGAGAGAGGAUGACUGGGUGGGCCCUGGAGAGAGACGGAGGGUGACUGGGUGGGCCCUGGAGAGAGAGAGAGA
RNA transcript from Oncorhynchus gorbuscha (pink salmon), 2477 nucleotides. It is a transcript of the gene named ADP-ribosylation factor-like protein 13B, with no coding region annotated. NCBI's taxonomy places the organism in Eukaryota, Metazoa, Chordata, Actinopteri, Salmoniformes, Salmonidae. The transcript is spliced from 10 exons. The record is from RefSeq and is a predicted model, not a curated record.